This 253-nucleotide ribosomal RNA is filed under the name uncultured bacterium. RNAcentral's name for it is "partial 16S ribosomal RNA". It matches the Rfam family "Bacterial small subunit ribosomal RNA", at positions 524 to 776 of the family's 1533-position model. The record is from RNAcentral.
UACGAAGGGGGCUAGCGUUGUUCGGAAUUACUGGGCGUAAAGCGCGCGCAGGCGGUCUUCCAAGUCAGUGGUGAAAGCCCGGAGCUCAACUCCGGAACUGCCAUUGAAACUGUUAGACUUGAGGAUGAGAGAGGUGAGUGGAAUUCCCAGUGUAGAGGUGAAAUUCGUAGAUAUUGGGAAGAACACCGGUGGUGAAGGCGGCUCACUGGCUCAUUACUGACGCUCAGGCGCGAUAGCGUGGGGAUCAAACAGG